GGGGGAAUUUUUGCGCAAUGGGCGAAAGCCUGACGCAGCGACGCCGCGUGAGGGAUGAAGGUCCUCGUGAUCGUAAACCUCUGUCAGGAAGGAUUAAAUGUAUAGUAGUUAAUAACUGCUAUGC
This 124-nucleotide ribosomal RNA is filed under the name uncultured bacterium. Its description in RNAcentral is "partial 16S ribosomal RNA". It matches the Rfam family "Bacterial small subunit ribosomal RNA", at positions 354 to 476 of the family's 1533-position model. The record is from RNAcentral.